RNAcentral lists this ribosomal RNA (513 nucleotides) under uncultured bacterium. RNAcentral describes it as "bacterial SSU rRNA". It matches the Rfam family "Bacterial small subunit ribosomal RNA", at positions 1 to 507 of the family's 1533-position model. The record is from RNAcentral.
CGUAGUUUGAUCAGUGGCUCGAGGAUAGAACGCUAGCUACAGGCUUAACACAUGCAAGUCGAGGGGCAGCAUGAACUUAGCUUGCUAAGUUUGAUGGCGACCGGCGCACGGGUGAGUAACACGUAUCCAACCUGCCGAUGACUCGGGGAUAGCCUUUCGAAAGAAAGAUUAAUACCCGAUGGCAUAGUUCUUCCGCAUGGUAGAACUAUUAAAGAAUUUCGGUCAUCGAUGGGGAUGCGUUCCAUUAGGUUGUUGGCGGGGUAACGGCCCACCUAGUCUUCGAUGGAUAGGGGUUCUGAGAGGAAGGUCCCCCACAUUGGAACUGAGACACGGUCCAAACUCCUACGGGAGGCAGCAGUGAGGAAUAUUGGUCAAUGGGCGAGAGCCUGAACCAGCCAAGUAGCGUGAAGGAUGACUGCCCUAUGGGUUGUAAACUUCUUUUAUAAAGGAAUAAAGUCGGGUAUGCAUACCCGUUUGCAUGUACUUUAUGAAUAAGGAUCGGCUAACUCCGUG